Non-coding RNA from Nomia melanderi (Alkali bee), 4773 nucleotides. Lineage: Eukaryota; Metazoa; Arthropoda; Insecta; Hymenoptera; Halictidae. The record is from RefSeq and is a predicted model, not a curated record.
UCUCCUGUGAUACGCAGAUGUCACUAUAAUUUCGUAAUAAAUGUUUGUAACGAAACAUAAUAAUGUUAAUGAUCGCGUUCACUUUCUUCCCGACUGAUCUCGCGGUGAUCACGACACGAGAGAAAUGGCACCUCGAUACCACCCGUGGUUUUUAAUUCACCGGAGAAACCCGUUUGUCCCGAGAGCGUGCGUACCGCGAGCGCUGGCCAGCGAGCGCGGGGACCGAUUUACGUGAUCCGAUUCGAUUCGAUCCGCUUUUCGCGUGUACAAUUGCAAUAACAACGUGAAACCCGACAUUACAGGAGAACACGCGCGCAGGGACUCGCGUGUUCGUUCACUGUAUUCGUUGAAUAACUGUUCGACGCGAACAUCGUUAGGUAACAUUUGUACCAGCUGUUUCUCAGUUCUCAAUAUGCUUUCCCGCUUUAACGCGAAAUUUCGAGUUGAAUGUGUAAUUAGGCUUUCCAUGAACGAACGCGCGAAUCUUUGUACACACCAGCGCAUAUUCAUUCGAAAUGGAUACCCGAGGUACCUUAGUUUUACAAGAGUACUCGCCGGAUACCUGGGAAAAUGUAACAAUUACCUGAAACGCUCGAGUACUCGUUGGCUAUUAGAUUAGAGAAAUUCGUCUACAGGUGCGACGCGAGACUUAAGUCUGCGAGGUCGGUCGUUUCUAUAUUGUAUCGAAUGAUUCGAAAAUAGUUAGUCGAAAUUGUAAAUCAAUUGGCCUGUACCUCGGCGCCUGUAGCCUCCGUGCAAUUCGUUCGAUUCGUGUUCGGUAUCCAAAACGCAAUAAGUAGAAGAAGAGUAGAGGUGUUCCUUUGUAUAUUAAUAUUUUAUUUAUGCAUGACGACAGUGAUCAUUGUAAUUCGUAUUUAUCGACGACGGGAACGUUCUCAACGAACCACGUCCGAUAGAAUAUUUUCUGCCUGGGAUAGUAUUCGAGUACUUGUGUAAUUUUAAUUUUCCUCGGGUACUUGAUCAUCUACAUUGAAACAUCAUGCGUUCGCGGAUGCCAGAUCGCUCUCUGGCGCGAUCGUAUUCGAGCAGCAGCCUAAUCGUUCGGGUACUCGAGUACCGAGAGAAAUGCACUCCGUAUAAUCGAAAUGAUCCGAGCAAUUUUUAUAUUGUAUUUCCAUUGUAACAUUGAAACUUUCAUUCGAGAAUUCGCGUCUUGGACCGUCUGUCCGAGUACUCGAGUACCUGCGUAAAUAAUGUCCACUUCGGUACCUCCGGGUGCCAGUAACGCCGAGACACACUGACACGCACACACGAUACGAGAAUAGAAGCAUAAACGACCGUGUGUACGGUAUUGAAACAUUCAAACGCGACGCGGCUUGCGGCCGCGCGUGUAUAUAUAUAUAUCGGUAUGUAUGUAUACAUGUACAUAUACAUACACACGCGCAUAUAUACAUAUAUACAUAUAUAUUAUAUAUGUAUAUACGACUCUUAUACAUAGUAUAAAUACGCCGAGGAGAAUAAAUUAAUUACAGUAUACAUGUUACACGAUACAUAGGAUGGUUAUGUAAACCUGUUGACAUGUAAUGUCUAUGUUCUAAUAAAGAUUAGGAUAUUUUAUAUAAAUAAGAGUUGUUCGAAGCUCUAUCAGAUCUCCAUGGAGGACAGUUCGACCGGGAAUGCUCGCUGGGGAGCUUCCGUCGAGUUAAAUGCAAUGGGAAUUGUACAUACGUGGAAAAACAAGUGAAAAUUGUACUGCGCGAAGGAAACGAUAUGGUUUCUCAUGUUUGUGAAUUGUCUUCUCAGGUACCUAGUUUGCAGUGAGCCCGGUCAGCGACCGGGGAGAAUGUAGUGUUACAGUUUUAUCAGAUCGUUCCCGUCGAGGAAUGGCAUCGCUUAUGGAACGACCUGAUAGCAAGUCCUCUGGGACUGUCAACGGAAUACUGAAGAUGUUCUGCAACGAUUCCUCUUCAAGAAUCCUGUAGGAAGCGUCUCAGGAAGUCGUCGCUGCUCGCGUACUGCAGAAGAAGCUCCUCGUACCUAGCCGUUGUCCGAUCGAACGAAUUCGUUCCAGGAUCGCCUCGGCCAAGGUCCUCUCGUACUCCGUGUACAUCUGGUCCUGCGUGAACCACAGAGCCAGCGCGCAACGCCUGCCUCGGAGGACACCCCGUACACCAUGGAGGUUCUCUCCUCCCGCGGAGAACGCUACCAUGCGUCCGCAACGAGGGGAAACCAGGCUGUCGGUGUCGCGGAUGGCGCGUUCCUUCGCGAAGAAGAACUCGCCGCCCUGGAAGUCCUCGUUCAGGUCGAAGAAGAAGAAAGACGAAGACACGAGAAGGCGGUGUUAACGUUCAGCCGCUCCACGAAUAAUGCGAAUUUCGUUAGACACACCUUAACACUAGAAUCACCCAUUCUUUGCUUCUUUUGCGAUUACUGAAGAGGUACGAAUAUUUCUUUAAGAAAUCACUAAAGAAGCUGAUUAAGUAACGCCUAAGUUGAAAUCUGAACCAAUUCAAGUCUUAAUGAAUCCACGUUUGUAGUUUUUGUAAUGAAAUCGUCGAAAGUCUACCAGUUCUAGUGUUAAUCAAGUAAUCCACUAGUUUCACGCUGUCGAAGAUCAUUUUCUUAUUCCCAUUUAAUCUCUAAGAUACCGUGAUCUCUGUAUACGUAAUUGUGUGUCAGACAGCGGAUUACUUGUCAGCAGAUCUAACGUUAAUUGCCCCAUUAGAAUUCACAUUAUUAAUGGCGCGGCUCGCAAGAGUAUUCGACUGGUCACCGAUUGUUACCCACGUGCCAUACCAAGUGAGUCGGUGCGACGCGGUUUCAGCUGCGAAAGGGACCAGAAGCACGCUGAUGCAUCAGGUGAAAAUUACCGGGUAGAGCCGUGCGGCAGACCAGGUGGGUGUAGGUGAUAUAGAGCGGUCGAUCUAGCCCGAAAUACCUUUCCACGUGGCCGCGGGCGUCCUCUGUUUUCGCGAGGAGCUGCCGCAAUCGCUCCGCCUCCACUCGACCGAAGUACACCAUCUACGGUCAUCGUUAUCGUCAUCGAUUUUUCCAGAAUCGCAUAAACGAUACAUGUGUACUGAACUUUAGAAAAUAUGCGAUACGAAUGAAAGAAAAGAAAGGAUGCUAGAAUGUAAACGUCUCACCAAGGCGACUCUACCGACGGUGAUUCCCUCGAACUUCUCGUGCCUCGAAUGUGGGCUCUUGUACUCGUUGUAGCCAUCGCCUUCCACCGCGGUCAUCUACAUUUAAGAGAACAUCCUUACAACUGCAGUCCAACGUAAACGAACAACUGGGCUACAACAACGUACCGUCGCCAGUCGCAUGAGAGAUUCACACUCCGUCGAAUUGAGGAACCCGUCAGCAACGUAGCGAUUCUUUCCGCCAAGUUCUUUCUGUUCCGCGAUCAGAUAGACAUCGUCCCUGACCCUUUGCCGUUUCCUAUCGCUCGCUUCAGGUCUCUCGUCUCUAAUCGCGGAACGAUUGUUGAACAACUGCGUGUUGGAGAGAGACGAAUAUCCGGGCGGUGGAUGCGGGGCUUCGACUUCCUUUAUACUCUAGGCAGACGUCACGCCUGAAUUACCGAGCCGGAAGUGCAGCGAUGCUUUCUCGGUUGCAUUUAAUAGGCGUUCCGUUUAGAAACCGAGCAGCGUGACGUUUAGAAGCAUAGAAGCGUUCCAAUGGAAAGACAGAAUAGAAUAAUGGGAUAGCGGUCGUGUUUGAGUAUUUUAUUCGUAUGGCACAAAAGAUACAGAGAGCAUGGGAAAUGAGAUUCUCCUGGAACACGAGCGUCGUGAAUCCGCGCGUACAGUAACGAGUCGAAAUAAAAUAGUAGACGUCAGUCCAUGGAAUGCUUAGAGUCCUAUUUACGUUACGAUCAUUUUACCUUUUCCGAUUCUUUCUCUUUGCUAUCGUCGCUCGGCUUCUCUUGAGACUUGUUCCAAUUCGCUAGCUUCCUGUCUAUUAUUGAGAACUCGUGGGAUAUGUAACGCAGCAGGCCCAGCUCGUAUUCUUGUCUCUUAACAUACCUUAGGACCUCCUGAAGAGAGUACAUUUCAGAUAAUUAAAUAAGUGAGAUUCCCAUUUGGUAAUUAUUAACCUGACACGUCCUACUCAACGCAGAGGCAAAAGAAAUCACUGUAUAAUAUUAACACGUCGAAUUCCCCAAGAUUUCACAUAGCAAAAUGCACAAAAUGAAAAUGUAACAUCAAAGUUAGAUAGCAUUAUUUGUAAUAUAAAAAUAUUUGCAAAUAAUGAUCGUUCAAUUGACUGAAUUAUAAUAAUUCCCCCACGGCAUUCAACGUGUCAAUAAAAUCCAGAAUACAGGAAACCAAUGAAAUCACUGAAGCGGACGCCAUUUAGGUUCUAGGUCCUGACAAUGUCUGCAAAGGCAUCACCUCUCUAGGUACGAAGUAGCUUUCUUCUACCAUCGGUUGGCUGCUGUAGUACUUCUUGUUCUGCAGCAUGGUCCCGUCGACAGGAUCGAACACCAAGUAGCUCGCCACUGCGGCGCAGGCUGCCUUCAAGUUCCCCACUGCGCGGAAAAACGGUCCUAUUUGCCCCGAGACUAACCGGCUGAACAAGAUUAGAUCAGCGGAGAUGACAUUCAACGGACAGCUGGGAAACGAGCACGGGGUCUGGGACAAUUUCACGGGUAACGAGGCUGCCUGGCUAAUCAGACCGACCACCAGUUGGCCAAGAUUAAUCCAAUUAAACUUCCUUCGAGGCAUGAGUAACAGCUUCCUGAGGAGCUCCGAACGAUUGUCGCCGCAACGAUUCGCUCGCUGCUGGGAAUGCGCGCGGCAGCGCGCG